Molecule: ribosomal RNA, 445 nt
Filed under: uncultured bacterium
Lineage: Bacteria
Description: partial 16S ribosomal RNA
Rfam family: Bacterial small subunit ribosomal RNA
Source: RNAcentral
GUGAGGAAUAUUGCGCAAUGGAGGCAACUCUGACGCAGCCAUGCCGCGUGCAGGAAGAAGGCGCUACGCGUUGUAAACUGCUUUUAACCGGGAAGAAACCCCAGGACGUGUCCUGGGUUGACGGUACCGGAGGAAUAAGCACCGGCUAACUUCGUGCCAGCAGCCGCGGUAAUACGAAGGGUGCAAGCGUUAUCCGGAUUCAUUGGGUUUAAAGGGUGCGUAGGCGGAGCGUUAAGUCAGUGGUGAAAUCCUGCAGCUUAACUGUAGACUUGCCAUUGGUACUGGCGCGCUUGAGUGCGCUUGAAGUGGGCGGAAUGUGCCGUGUAGCGGUGAAAUGCUUAGAUAUGGCACAGAACACCAAUUGCGAAGGCAGCUCACUAAGGCGAUACUGACGCUGAGGCACGAAAGCGUGGGGAUCGAACAGGAUUAGAAACCCCGGUAGUCC